Molecule: ribosomal RNA, 492 nt
Filed under: uncultured bacterium
Lineage: Bacteria
Description: partial 16S ribosomal RNA
Rfam family: Bacterial small subunit ribosomal RNA
Source: RNAcentral
AGUGAACGCUGGCGGUAGGCCUAACACAUGCAAGUCGAACGGCAGCACAGUAAGAGCUUGCUCUUACGGGUGGCGAGUGGCGGACGGGUGAGGAAUACAUCGGAAUCUACUUUUUCGUGGGGGAUAACGUAGGGAAACUUACGCUAAUACCGCAUACGACCUACGGGUGAAAGCAGGGGAUCUUCGGACCUUGCGCGAUUGAAUGAGCCGAUGUCGGAUUAGCUAGUUGGCGGGGUAAAGGCCCACCAAGGCGACGAUCCGUAGCUGGUCUGAGAGGAUGAUCAGCCACACUGGAACUGAGACACGGUCCAGACUCCUAAGGGAGGCAGCAGUGGGGAAUAUUGGACAAUGGGCGCAAGACUGAUCCAGCCAUACCGCGUGGGUGAAGAAGGCCUUCGGGUUGUAAAGCCCUUUUGUUGGGAAAGAAAAGCAGCAGGUUAAUACCCCGCUGUUCUGACGGUACCCAAAGAAUAAGCACCGGCUAACUUCGUG